This is a long non-coding RNA of Dreissena polymorpha, 325 nucleotides long. RefSeq lists it as uncharacterized. The record is from RefSeq and is a predicted model, not a curated record. Lineage: Eukaryota; Metazoa; Mollusca; Bivalvia; Myida; Dreissenidae. The transcript has 3 exons.
AUUACUAUUCCUUCUUUAAACGGCCAAGAAGCAGAAUAUUUCUAUGAAACUGCAACGCCUUUUCGUUACCAUUACGUCUCAAUAACAAUUCGCACAGACCAGGCAAACGGACUGAAUAUUGAUGGUUCUACCGUCAGUCGUUCCGAUGAACUGAAAACAACGAUAAAGACUACAGAGUUCAGUGUUAUUCGGCUGUCUGUUACCGUGGGAAAGCACCACAUUUACCACAUGGACACCUACGUGCGUUUCGGUGUGAUCGUUUACGGGUUUGAUUCUCAUGAAUCCUACGGGUUUCCGCUGGGACUACCAUGACGGACCACGAGAC